GUAGGUGGCAAGCGUUGUCCGGAAUUAUUGGGCGUAAAGCGCGCGCAGGCGGUUCCUUAAGUCUGAUGUGAAAGCCCACGGCUCAACCGUGGAGGGUCAUUGGAAACUGGAGAACUUGAGUACAGAAGAGGAAAGCGGAAUUCCACGUGUAGCGGUGAAAUGCGUAGAGAUGUGGAGGAACACCAGUGGCGAAGGCGGCUUUCUGGUCUGUAACUGACGCUGAGGCGCGAAAGCGUGGGGAGCAAACAGGGAUUAGAUACCCUGGUAGUCCACGCCGUAAACGAUGAGUGCUAAGUGUUAGGGGGGUUUCCGCCCCCCUUAGUGCUGCAGCUAACGCAUUAAGCACUCCGCCUGGGAGUACGGCCGCAAGGCUG
Molecule: ribosomal RNA, 374 nt
Filed under: uncultured organism
Description: partial 16S ribosomal RNA
Rfam family: Bacterial small subunit ribosomal RNA
Source: RNAcentral